RNAcentral lists this ribosomal RNA (958 nucleotides) under Vibrio parahaemolyticus. RNAcentral's name for it is "partial 23S ribosomal RNA". It matches the Rfam family "Bacterial large subunit ribosomal RNA", at positions 342 to 1309 of the family's 2925-position model. Lineage: Bacteria; Pseudomonadati; Pseudomonadota; Gammaproteobacteria; Vibrionales; Vibrionaceae. The record is from RNAcentral.
CUGGAAAGUCCGACGAUACAGGGUGAUAGUCCCGUAGUUGACGACGUGUGUUCAGUGAAAUCGAGUAGGGCGGGACACGUGAUAUCCUGUCUGAAUAUGGGGGGACCAUCCUCCAAGGCUAAAUACUACUGACUGACCGAUAGUGAACCAGUACCGUGAGGGAAAGGCGAAAAGAACCCCUGUGAGGGGAGUGAAAUAGAACCUGAAACCGUGUACGUACAAGCAGUAGGAGCAGGCUUUGUCCUGUGACUGCGUACCUUUUGUAUAAUGGGUCAGCGACUUAUAUUCAGUGGCAAGGUUAACCAUCUAGGGGAGCCGUAGGGAAACCGAGUCUUAACUGGGCGUUCAGUCUCUGGAUAUAGACCCGAAACCAGGUGAUCUAGCCAUGGGCAGGUUGAAGGUUGAGUAACAUCAACUGGAGGACCGAACCGACUAAUGUUGAAAAAUUAGCGGAUGACUUGUGGCUAGGGGUGAAAGGCCAAUCAAACCUGGAGAUAGCUGGUUCUCCCCGAAAGCUAUUUAGGUAGCGCCUCGGACGAAUACUACUGGGGGUAGAGCACUGUUAAGGCUAGGGGGUCAUCCCGACUUACCAACCCUUUGCAAACUCCGAAUACCAGUAAGUACUAUCCGGGAGACACACGGCGGGUGCUAACGUCCGUCGUGGAGAGGGAAACAACCCAGACCGCCAGCUAAGGUCCCAAAUUACUACUAAGUGGGAAACGAUGUGGGAAGGCUCAGACAGCCAGGAUGUUGGCUUAGAAGCAGCCAUCAUUUAAAGAAAGCGUAAUAGCUCACUGGUCGAGUCGGCCUGCGCGGAAGAUGUAACGGGGCUAAGUAGUAAACCGAAGCUGCGGCAAUAUACUUUUGUAUAUUGGGUAGGGGAGCGUUCUGUAAGCGGUUGAAGGUGUGUGGUAACGCAUGCUGGACGUAUCAGAAGUGCGAAUGCUGACAUGAGUAA